AACUGCCAAUAGCUCCUUAGUAAGGAUGGGAACGCCCACUUUCCCCUUUUGCGACAGAAUUUCUGACUGACCUGAUCCUUUGCAAGGCUUGUCAACCUCUGUGAGUUCAUAUGUGCAGCUGUCCUGCAGUCUCCAGAAAAUGCUGUUUCCUUUACAGACAGGAGUAAGCUGUCCUCUGAGAGGUUCCACCUAGCAGCUGGCUGAGACAGAUGCAGAUACACAUACCCAAACACUGGACUCGGAGACUCUAUGGAAGAGAGAGAGGAAAACUGAAAACCCUGAAGGGAAUAGGAACUCCACAGGAAGACCAACAAAGCCAGGAAGAACAGAUUGAUGAGGCUGCCCCUGGGAUUCUGUCGGAACCACUGCACACUGUUCAUGGUGGUAGAAAAAUUGCAUCUCAGACCAGAGCCAGCUCCCUCAUGAAGACUCAGGGCUUCAGGAUUCUGUUCCACCUGUAUUCCUCUCACCCCUGCUCAGAGAGGGAAAAAUAAACUAUAUG
This is a non-coding RNA of Rattus norvegicus (Norway rat), 502 nucleotides long. The record is from RefSeq and is a predicted model, not a curated record. NCBI's taxonomy places the organism in Eukaryota, Metazoa, Chordata, Mammalia, Rodentia, Muridae.